UCCCCAAACUCCCGACACAACCCGCACUCCUCUUCUUCUCCAAUCGACAGACCCCGCUGCUCCCUCACGGGCGCAUGGACGCCGGAGCUCCCCUGCUCAGCUUCACCGCGCUGCUCCCCUGCUCUCCCGCGCGUCCUCCUCCGCCGCCGCGGCUGCCUACGCCGUCGCUCCUUCCGGUCUCGCGCAGCUCCCCUGCCUCCCUUGCCUGCCUCCUAAAUCUCCCCUCUUUCACCCCCAAAAUCGUUUCUUCUUCCUCCCGUUGCGUCUCCUGCUUGCGCGCGACGGCGACACGUCCUCCGCGUUGCCCCCGACACCGGAGGAGGCACGGGGAAAGCAGCAGUGGCUCGCGCUGCGCUUGCGCCACCUCAGGUGCGCGUGGGCCUACGCGCCGGUCGCCGCCUCGGCCAUGCGCCAGUCCACAAAGGAGGAGGAAGGGGAUUCCGUUCGCCGCCUCGGACGUGCUCCUCGAGUCCCUGCUCUUCGGGCCCCUCCUCACCUCCCUCAUCAAGAAGCAGAACAACAUGGCGCAGAUGCUGCAGCGCACUGUAAUCCCCGACCUGCCGCAGGGUUCUUCCCGGAGGACCCUCUCUCUGUACAAGCAAAAGCAGCUAUGAGAAACUCUUCAUUCAGUCAAGUUCUACUGAUUUUUUGUCUCCUUGAAUUUUGUAUAGUUGAGAUAGAUGUUCUACUUCUUUCAUUCGGUCAGGUUCUACUGAAACAUUUUGCAGAAACAAUGUUCUGCUGAAACUGAAAAAAAGGAACAGAACCAAACCUGAAUAAUUGUACUCCUCCUUAAUUCUUCAAUAGAUUUAGAAAUGUUCAGACUUUGAAUGUUCACUGCAUUAGUAAAUCUUGUCUUUCCUAAAAACUGAAUUUGUAUAUUAAGUCUUUGCUAAAGAGAAAUUGUAAAUCUUAUCAUAACAAAUGUUCAUUCAGAAGUGUUCAGAAAUCUUCAGUUUUUUAUCAUGAAAUGUUCAGUUUUUUGCUCUCUAAAUUGUGUCUUUUUUGCUCAUUCAGUGCUCAGUCUACUGUAGAUAAAAUCAAUGUCUUGAGCAUGAAUAUUGCCAACUCUAUUCAAAGGCUUGAUUAGUUCCCAAUUUUUUAAGUACAGUAGUUGCUUGCUUAGUAAAGUGUUCUAGACAUCAGGGUAGGAGUUAACUGAAUUUACACUACUGAUAAUCAGUGAACUGAAGUUUCAAUGUACUGCCCAACAGUUCCUGUCUGCACUAGAGCAUGGAAGGAUUUAUAACAUUGUCACACACCGAGGUCUCUGCAAGUCUAUCCCAAAUAUCUGCAGAAUCUUAUGCCAAGGAAGUGUUUGUGCAUUGUAUCCUGUUCCUCUCCACCACUGAAGUGUUGUACAGAAUUUAUUUUUAAGAUCAUAAGACACAGCAAACUCUGUUCUUUGGUCUAAAGGUGGUUCUUGCAUUUAUCAAAAUACUCUUCUGUUGUCUGGAUCCAAUGCUCAAUAUCAUCUCCUUCAAAUUCAGGUAUACUGAAUUUUGCAGGUUUGACAGUAGCAAGAGUUCUUGUGUUGUCAUUAGGACGUUGGCAUCUAGUUCUUGUGGUCUUGUGACCAUGUUCAAAUAGGUCAUCUUCAGAGGCAUAGUACACUUGCUCAGUUCUGUGCUGGUGGUAAACAGGGGCUUGGUUUUGUGCCUGCAUGGCUGGGAUGCCUGCAAGGUGCUAUUGUGUGAUGUUCCAAAUGCAGUAGAAGAUUCAGUUCACUUCUGUUAACAUUCAGUUAACUGAUGAAUAUUGGACAUUGAGGGACACAUUCAGUUAACUUCUAUGUUCACUGAAUCUUUUUUGCAACAUUCCUGUAGACUACAUGAUGCAUCUUUGGUGUUUUUACAUCAGAACAGAAAUGUGAUUUUAAUGCUAAUGCAUCUUUGUAUAGCCUUUGUCCUGGAUUAUUUCUCUAGCUUUGUAUCCACUCACUGAAUUUCAUCUACAGCUUGAGAACAGCAAAUUCAGACUCACAGCAGCAGUAGCAGAGGCGGGCGGGGCAGGCUCACCAGCACAGGCGGGAGUGGGAGCGAGGUGAGGCAGGGAAAAGGCAAAACUGCAUCAGAGGUCCGCGGCGUCGGCGUCGCCCACCAGUAGCAGCAUCAUAGGCGGGAGUUGCCGGAAUUGUCCAUGGCGCCGGCGGCUCAAGCAGACAAAAUCGAAGGCUCUGGCGGGUGAAGCAGACAAAAUCAGAGGCGUAGGUGGGCCGCGAAGGUGGGCGGACGUUCGCGGCGACCGUGGGCUACCGUGGGCGGCGAGCUUCAAUGGGGCCGGCGGCGUAGCUCGAGGUGGGCGCCGGCGCAGGUCGCCUUCAUGGCGCGCGGUGCAGGCGGGAAGCCGCGGCGCAGGUCCAAGCGGGCGGCGGCGCUGUUGUUGGUCGCGCGCUGGGACGCGGAGCAGGUCCCGGCGGGCGGCGGCCCAGGUGGGUAGCCGGCGAUGGCUGCAAGGCGCGGGCGACGGGGGAGGAUCGGAGGAAGGAAGGAGAUGGAGUUCUUCGUGACGUGUUUAAAACUCUGUGGGUUUUUUUUGAAAAGAAAAACAAAUACGCCCGUGGACAACUUUUCCUGGAGGAAGGGAGUAAUUCAUAUUGAUAUUGAAAUCUCUAAAAAGACUUAUAUUUAAAAGUAGAGGGAGUAGUUUCGUAUACCGUCUUUGUUUUCUUAUUAUUAAAGAUAUGGACGAUCAUGUUUCCAUCGA
RNA transcript from Triticum dicoccoides, 2706 nucleotides. RefSeq lists it as uncharacterized. Lineage: Eukaryota; Viridiplantae; Streptophyta; Magnoliopsida; Poales; Poaceae. The transcript has 2 exons. The record is from RefSeq and is a predicted model, not a curated record.